AAGACUAUACUUUCAGGGAUCAUUUCUAUAGUUAUUAAUAUUGAGAUAUGUGUUUCUAAAGUGAACGGUCUCGCCAACUACGAUGAUGAGAAUUGAUGUUCCUUCCUGAGCGUGAAGCUAGCGGAGAAUAAUGAUGUUUAUAUCAUAGAUUCUCCACUUUUGAUGAGCGUUCUAUGCUUCCUAGUGGAGCAUUGAGGGGAGGGACAUGAUCAGAGUAGU
Small nucleolar RNA from Syngnathus typhle (broad-nosed pipefish), 219 nucleotides. RefSeq annotates it as small nucleolar RNA U3. The record is from RefSeq and is a predicted model, not a curated record. Lineage: Eukaryota; Metazoa; Chordata; Actinopteri; Syngnathiformes; Syngnathidae. The transcript has a single exon.